Molecule: ribosomal RNA, 468 nt
Filed under: uncultured bacterium
Lineage: Bacteria
Description: partial 16S ribosomal RNA
Rfam family: Bacterial small subunit ribosomal RNA
Source: RNAcentral
GACGAACGCUGGCGGCGUGCUUAACACAUGCAAGUCGAACGGAAAGGCUCUGCUUUUGUGGGAUUCUCGAGUGGCGAACGGGUGAGUAUCACGUGAGUAGCCUGCCCUUUACUUUGGGAUAACUUCAUUAAACUGGAGCUAAUACCCGAUAUGAUCUCCUUCUGCAUGGUUGGUAUGGUAAAGUUUCGCCGGUUCGGCAUGCACGCGCGGUUUAUCAUCUUGUUGGUGGGGUAGUGGCUUACCAAGGCGUUGACGGGUAGCUGGCUUGAGAGGGUGACCGGCCACAUAGGGAUAGAGAAAGGACCAAGACUGAUACGGGAGCAAGCAGUGGGGGAUAUUGCAAAAAGGGCGGAAGGCUGAAGCAGGAACGCCGCGUGGUAGAUGACUGCCUGCGGGUUGGAAAGCGCGUGAGCCUGUGAAGAAGAGUAAGUGACGGUAAUGGGUAAAGAAGCAACGGCUAACUACGUG